GUGAGGGCAAUCUGGCCGCGACAUCUGUCACCCCAUUGAUUGCCAGAACUGAUUUGGCUGAUCGGGCUGGCUAGGCGGGUGUCCUCUCCCUCCCUCACAUGUGCGUCCCUCCCAAAGCUGUGCGCCCAGUGGAAGAGGACAGCUGUCCUCAAUAAAGGAGAACCGGUCUCCAGGCAAGGGUAUAGGAGUAGAUGCGCUCCCCUGCUAGGACCUCCAAACAAGCUCUCAAGACGACUUUUGAAUGCAUAGCUACAGAACUGAAGCUGCUAGAGCUGUAGAUGCUUUGGAGAAAAAUCCAAAUGUGGAGAUGGCAUCUUUU
This 319-nucleotide small nuclear RNA is filed under the name Aotus nancymaae (Ma's night monkey). RNAcentral describes it as "7SK RNA (ENSANAG00000005297.1)". It matches the Rfam family "7SK RNA". From Rfam's summary of the family: 7SK was discovered as an abundant small nuclear RNA in the mid-70s but a possible function has only recently been suggested. The record is from Rfam by way of RNAcentral. Lineage: Eukaryota; Metazoa; Chordata; Mammalia; Primates; Aotidae.